RNAcentral lists this long non-coding RNA (2365 nucleotides) under Homo sapiens (human). RNAcentral describes it as "HSALNT0385470". The record is from RNAcentral. Lineage: Eukaryota; Metazoa; Chordata; Mammalia; Primates; Hominidae.
GAGGGGCAGUGUCCCUACCCAGGCUUGGAGGAGGAGCCUCAAGGGGUGUGUGUGGUUGGGGGAGACAGGCGGUGUCACCUGUGCUUAGACCAGGGGCGGUGGGCGGGUACCCUUGAGGUGGCAAGGUCACACUGCUCAUCAGAAGUUUCUCACUAGGGUCUUCUCUGGCCCAGCCUUUGACUGAAGCUGGUCUGGAGACAGGGGCGUUAGAGAAGUGACUCAUAGAUGGCCUAAAUAAGCGGGGCCACUCAAGGACCCAGGACAGGGGGAAGAGGGCCAACCCAUCUGGACCGCAGGCAAACCCCAUGGCCUUUGAGAGAAGAGAGAAGAGGACCCGGUGAAGAGCUGCACCAGGAACUCACAGAGGAUCAGGGAGAAUUCUGAGAACAUGCUACUGUGGUGCUGCCUAGAGAGGAAGGAUAAAUGAUGACAAGUACAUCUCUGAGUAACGUAUGGGCACUUGUUCAUGAAAACUGUUUUUCUGAAAGCUUGUGAAGGUCUUGAAAUACUCGCUAUCAGUUGAGGACAAACAUUUACACCCUCCUUCCACAGGGAGUUCAAGCAGGCUGGAUGGGUCCAUCUAUGGAUGAUCUUCCCCAGCCCCUUCCUCUUCCCAGCUCAUCCCUGGCUCUCUGUGUGAACAGGUCUCAUCAGUGGAAUGUGGUUGAUGAAGUGAGGUCUUCAAUUUUCUCAUCUACUGUGUGGUCAUGUUAUUUUCCUCAUCUGAGGCUUAAAAACUCACCUGCAUGCAGCACAUGACAGCUUAAAAUCUCUUGUGAACAAAACAGUAACAAAGACACCCACCAGCGUUGAGCAUCCCGUGUUGAUGACAGCGACCACCAGGGGUCAACGUCCUCUUCACAAUCCUGUGUCAGAGCAUCACUUGACUGAUUUCAUUAGCAACUUCCCAGGAGAAUCAGCUUACAAAAUACUUGUCCCAUUUUCCAUGCAGAUGUAACCCAUCUAUUUUACUGAAGAAAUGGGAAGAGCUGAAUGCUGAAUACACUGAAUGUCUGCAGGUUGUGCAAGUUUGUGACUUUAUCACUUUCUAAUUUCUGAUCUGUGUGGACCACUCUACAGAUUUUUCUCACUGGUGUGAUCAGCCUUCUGGAUGUCAAAUAUAAUAGACUUUCAAUAAUAUAAAAGUCAACACAAGCUCCUCAUGGUUUCAGUGCUCAGUGAUGACUCUAAACUUACACAAUGUGUUUCUUUAUUAGUUUUGUUUUCUGGUAUCUCUACUCGGCAUCUUCACCACACCCAUUUUAUGUUUCUUAUACAGGCUUUCUUCUAUGAAAUGCUAUGUCAUGAAUAUGCAAAUAACCUGAGAUCCACUGAGGUAAAUUUGGAUGUCUGUGCCCUGAGAGCAUCACCCAACAACCACAUCCCUCCUCUAUAGAAGCCCCUGAGAACACAGCUCCUCACCAUGGACUGUACCUGGGGGAUCCACUUCUUGGUGGCAGCUGCCACAGGUGUCCAUUCCCAGGUUCAGCUGUUGCAGCCUGGGGCUGAGGUGAAGAAGCCUGGGUCCUCAGUGAAGGUCUCCUGCCAGGCUUCCAGAUACACCUUCACCAAAUACUUUACACGGUGGGUGUGACAAAGCCCUGGACAAGGGCAUAGUGGAUGGGAUGAAUCAACCCUUACAAUGAUAACACACACUAUGCACAGACGUUCUGGGGCAGAGUCACCAUUACCAGUGACAGGUCCAUGAGCACAGCCUACAUGGAGCUGAGCAACCUGAGAUCUGAAGACAUGGUCAUGUAUUACUGUGUGAGAGACACAGUGCAAAAACCCACAUCCUGAGAGUGUCAGAAACCCCAGGAAGGAGACACCUGUGCUGACACAGAGGAGAUGACAAAGAUUAUUAGAUUAAAGAUUUGCUUAGAAAAUGACAUUAAGUCAUUAAAGAAAAGGAACAAUAUUAAUGUGUAUUUGAGAAAUUUUAAUUAUUUGAGAGAUUUUUCAUACAACAUUUAUUCUGUAAACAAAUUUCAAUGAUUAGAGAAUUAAUCAAAUUAAUGAAACUAAUAUAGAACUUCCUCUGAAGGUAUCUCUGUAAACAUUAAUUUCUUAAUCAGUGCUGUAAGUAUUUUGGAAUACAGACACAAAAUCACAUUUUAAGUCUGCAUUUAUAUCUAUUAAAAAUGCCAAAAAAAUCUCCUUUUGUGCGUGUAGCAUUUUGAAUUCCCACCAUCAAUGCAUGAUAGUUCUUGGUUUUCCACAUUCAUAUUGCCAUGUAUCCUUAUGAGAGUUGUGUGUUUUAACCAAUCUAGUAGGUGAGUAAUGGGAUCUAAUUUUUAUUUAAAUGCACAUGUCCCUCAAAAAGUUCAUAUUUAACAAUUUUCCAAUAACUUUUGUUGAGAUGCCU